UUGAAAGGGAAACGAUUGAAGUCAGUCGCGUCUGCUGGGACUCAACCUUGCUUUUGCCUGGUGUACUUCUCAGUAGAUGGGCCAGCAUCAAUUUCGGGCGCCGGAAAAGGAUUUGAGGAAUGUGGCUCUGAUCUUGUAUCGGAGUGUUAUAGCCUUUGGUAGAUGUGACGAUUGGGAUCGAGGAUUGCAACGAAUACCCUUCUGGGCUAUCCGUCUGACCUCUGAAAGUCGCUCGGGUGUCGAAAGCGUGCUGACUGUGAUCUGAUUUUCGGUUAAAAGAUUAGAGCGAGUGUAAAUUCGUUAAGGAUGUUGACGUA
Molecule: ribosomal RNA, 317 nt
Filed under: uncultured Glomeromycotina
Lineage: Eukaryota; Fungi; Glomeromycota
Description: LSU rRNA
Source: RNAcentral